GCCUGGCUAGCUCAGUUGGUGGAGCUCAUGACUCUGGAUCUUGGGGUUGUGAGUUUGAGCCCCACUUUGGGUG
Non-coding RNA from Canis lupus familiaris (dog), 73 nucleotides. NCBI's taxonomy places the organism in Eukaryota, Metazoa, Chordata, Mammalia, Carnivora, Canidae. The record is from Rfam.